GCUCACGUGGCGGAAUUGGUAGACGCGCUAGAUUCAGGUUCUAGUGGGGGCGACCCCGUGGAUGUUCGAGUCAUCUCGUGAGCA
RNAcentral lists this transfer RNA (84 nucleotides) under Verrucomicrobiaceae bacterium. RNAcentral describes it as "tRNA-Leu". It matches the Rfam family "tRNA". From Rfam's summary of the family: Transfer RNA (tRNA) molecules are approximately 80 nucleotides in length. Lineage: Bacteria; Pseudomonadati; Verrucomicrobiota; Verrucomicrobiia; Verrucomicrobiales; Verrucomicrobiaceae. RNAcentral also lists the same sequence under 1 other name. The record is from RNAcentral.